RNAcentral lists this ribosomal RNA (253 nucleotides) under uncultured bacterium. RNAcentral's name for it is "partial 16S ribosomal RNA". It matches the Rfam family "Bacterial small subunit ribosomal RNA", at positions 524 to 776 of the family's 1533-position model. The record is from RNAcentral.
UACGGGGGGAGCAAGCGUUGUUCGGAUUUAUUGGGCGUAAAGAGCGUGUAGGCGGCUAGGUAGGUCCGUUGUGAAAACUCGAGGCUCAACCUCGAGACGCCGGUGGAAACCAUCUAGCUAGAGUCCGGAAGAGGAGAGUGGAAUUCCUGGUGUAGCGGUGAAAUGCGCAGAUAUCAGGAAGAACACCCGUGGCGAAGGCGGCUCUCUGGGACGUGACUGACGCUGAGGAGCGAAAGUGUGGGGAGCGAACAGG